GAUGAACGCUGGCGGCGUGCUUAACACAUGCAAGUCGAACGAAGCACUUUAUUACAAUUUCUUCGGAAUGACGAUUUAGUGACUGAGUGGCGGACGGGUGAGUAACGCGUGGGUAACCUGCCUUAUACAGGGGGAUAACAGUUAGAAAUGACUGCUAAUACCGCAUAAGCGCACAGGAUUGCAUGAUCUGGUGUGAAAAACUCCGGUGGUAUAAGAUGGACCCGCGUCUGAUUAGCUGGUUGGUGAGGUAACGGCCCACCAAGGCGACGAUCAGUAGCCGACCUGAGAGGGUGAACGGCCACAUUGGGACUGAGACACGGCCCAAAACUCCUACGGGAGGCAGCAGUGGGGAAUAGUUGCACAAUGGGGGAAACCCUGAUGCAGCGACGCCGCGUGAGUGAUGAAGUAUUUCGGUAUGUAAAACUCCAUCAGCAGGGAAGAUAAUGAACGGUACCUGACUAAGAAGCACCGGCUAAAUACGUG
This 483-nucleotide ribosomal RNA is filed under the name uncultured bacterium. Its description in RNAcentral is "bacterial SSU rRNA". It matches the Rfam family "Bacterial small subunit ribosomal RNA", at positions 28 to 507 of the family's 1533-position model. The record is from RNAcentral.